Molecule: ribosomal RNA, 793 nt
Filed under: Prevotella melaninogenica
Lineage: Bacteria; Pseudomonadati; Bacteroidota; Bacteroidia; Bacteroidales; Prevotellaceae
Description: bacterial SSU rRNA
Rfam family: Bacterial small subunit ribosomal RNA
Source: RNAcentral
GAUGAACGCUGACAGAAUGCUUAACACAUGCAAGUCAACCUGAGCUUCGGUUUGGGUGGCGGACGGGUGAGUAACGCGUAAAGAACUUGCCUCACAGAUAGGGACAACAUUUGGAAACGAAUGCUAAUACCUGAUAUUAUGAUUUUAGGGCAUCCUAGAAUUAUGAAAGCUAUAUGCGCUGUGAGAGAGCUUUGCGUCCCAUUAGCUAGUUGGAGAGGUAACGGCUCACCAAGGCGAUGAUGGGUAGCCGGCCUGAGAGGGUGAACCGCCCCCAGGGGACUGAAAAACGGCCCUUCUCCUUCCGGAGGGAGGCUUGGGGGAUAUUGGACCAUGGGACAAGAGUCUUGAUCCACCAAUUCGGGGGGCCCGAGGAAGUUUUCGGGAAGGAAAAGGCUUCCGGUGGGGAAGAAAAAAAGAAGGUCCCAACGAAGAGUUACGGCUAAUUCGUCCCAGCGCCCGCGGUAAACGUGUGUCAAAGCGUUUCCGGGUUUAUUGGGGGAAAGCCCCCUAGGUGUUAAUAGUUCUGAUGUGAAAAUGCAGGCUCAACUCUGUAUGCGUGAAACUGUGUAACAGGGUCUGAGGGGAAGCGAACUACAAGUGUAGAGUGAAAUCGCAAAAUUCGAGAAUGCGAGUGGAAGCAGUUACUGACAGAUCUGACCUGACCCUAACCGUGGAGCAACAGAUAGAUCCUAGAGUCAAGGCGAUUCACAUGGGUGCGCGGGGAUCAAUAGUCUAAGCGCGCCCGGAGCUCCAUUGCCUAUAUAGACAUAUACGCGGCUAUGCGUUGUACACG